Molecule: unclassified non-coding RNA, 1222 nt
Filed under: Hevea brasiliensis (rubber tree)
Lineage: Eukaryota; Viridiplantae; Streptophyta; Magnoliopsida; Malpighiales; Euphorbiaceae
Source: RNAcentral
CUGUGAUCCAAAAGAAGGCAAAUGCAUUCCCCGAGCCAUCACUUUUACGAGUAAAUCGCUCCCAAGAGCGCUUAGGAAACACACCAUGGGUGACAUAUGCACUCACUUUCGCCGCACCAUGAGCCACUAACACUUUCUGACACUCAAUAAGGGUGCCUCCAGAUUGCACCAAAUCAUCAACAAUGACUACGUGACAACCAGCAGGAUUCCCCUCCUUUAGUCGAACUAUCCUCUUAUCACCUUCACGAACCUUUGUGCACACCACCAUGGGAAAAUGAUCCAACAGCUUGUGGAAUCGUUUCCAAGCUCCAUCAUCUGGAAACGCAACAACAAUCUUAUCAGAGUCAGGAAGCUGGUGAAGACGUUGCUUUAGCAGAGGGAUCCCAGUCUCAAACAAAGGCAAAACAUGGUCCCCAAAAUAAAAUCUUUCCUGUAGAGCAUGUAUGUCAUAAAUGACUAGACUAGUGGGACCACCCCUUGAUAUGGGAAUGUUUGAAAGUAUCCUUGCCAUGGUAAAUGCAGUUGCAACAUCCCCCUCUUCUUCCAUUCGCUCAAAGGAGCCAGUUGGAAAGAAUGGCAAAACCAAAGUGAACGAGGCAACAAACAGCCGUGGGAGCGCAUAUAUGACAGAAAGUUGUUCAAAGAUGACUCCUGGGGAACUGAAUGCCGCAAGAAAGGCUACAUGUUGACCUCGCAUUUCUUGUGCAUUGUUUAUAUAAAGGUUUGGAAACCCAUCAUCAAAAUUCCUCCAGUUGAUGGAUUGAAGAGUGAUGAGGUCAGAGUGAGCAGCAACUUUACGGGCAAGGUCUUCACAGUCUGCACAGUAAAAGAGAUGCACUUGCUUCUUGUGAUGCUGAGUUUGAAUGUCUGCCUUCUUUUCCAUUUCCUUGUCUCUCUUGCUCGGCCCCAACAAUACUCUCUUCUUAGUGGGAAGAAACCCUAGACUAACAAAAUUGUUGAAACAAAAAAUAACUUGGCAACUGCCGAGAGCUGGAAGGAGAGUCCCGCAGAGUAAAGGUUAAACCGUCAGAGAGGCGAGACUAAGAGAGGGCAGAGACAAGGCCUCGACAGCUGCAGAGAGGAAGAGACGAAGCUGCGACAGGAUGUCGUAGAUGCAAGAGAUGCUGCUCGAAGCGAGAGGCAAGGCUGCAAGAAGAAGAGGCGAGGCGACUGGGAAAAGAAGCGUAGAGAGUCUCUGUCUGGACCAUGAAUUGGGUCCUUU